RNAcentral lists this ribosomal RNA (466 nucleotides) under uncultured bacterium. RNAcentral's name for it is "partial 16S ribosomal RNA". It matches the Rfam family "Bacterial small subunit ribosomal RNA", at positions 28 to 507 of the family's 1533-position model. The record is from RNAcentral.
GACGAACGCUGGCGGCGUGCUUAACACAUGCAAGUCGAACGGAAAGGCCUCUUUCGGGGGGUACUCGAGUGGCGAACGGGUGAGUAACACGUGAGUAACCUGCCCUUGACUUUGGGAUAACUUCAGGAAACUGGGGCUAAUACCGGAUAGGAGCUCCUGCUGCAUGGUGGGGGUUGGAAAGUUUCGGCGGUUGGGGAUGGACUCGCGGCUUAUCAGCUUGUUGGUGGGGUAGUGGCUUACCAAGGCUUUGACGGGUAGCCGGCCUGAGAGGGGGACCGGCCAAAUUGGGACUGGGAUACGGCCCAGACUCCUACGGGAGGAAGAAGGGGGGAAUAUUGCACAAGGGGUGGAAGCCGGAUGCAGCAACGCCGUGGGGGGGAUGACGGCCUUCGGGUUGUAAACCGCUUUCGCUCAGGAAGAAGUUUUGGUGAAGGGUAGUGGAGAAGAAGCCCCCGCCAAACAAGGG